AGAGUUUGAUCCUGGCUCAGGAUGAACGCUAGCGGCAGGCUUAAUACAUGCAAGUCGAGGGGCAGCGCAGUGUAGCAAUACAUGGGCGGCGACCGGCAAACGGGUGCGGAACACGUACAGAACCUUCCUUUAAGUGGGGAAUAGCCCAGAGAAAUUUGGAUUAAUACCCCGUAACAUUAUGAAGUGGCAUCACUUUAUAAUUAUAGAUUUAUCGCUUAAAGAUGGCUGUGCGACUGAUUAGGUAGUUGGCGGGGUAACGGCCCACCAAGCCUGCGAUCAGUAACUGGUGUGAGAGCACGACCAGUCACACGGGCACUGAGACACGGGCCCGACUCCUACGGGAGGCAGCAGUAAGGAAUAUUGGUCAAUGGACGCAAGUCUGAACCAGCCAUGCCGCGUGGAGGAUGAAGGUCCUCUGGAUUGUAAACUUCUUUUAUCUGGGAAGAAACCCAUGGAUUCUUCUGUGGUUGACGGUACCAGAUGAAUAAGCACCGGCUAACUCCGUGCCAGCCGCCGCGGUAAUAC
RNAcentral lists this ribosomal RNA (525 nucleotides) under uncultured bacterium. RNAcentral describes it as "bacterial SSU rRNA". It matches the Rfam family "Bacterial small subunit ribosomal RNA", at positions 8 to 526 of the family's 1533-position model. The record is from RNAcentral.